ACAGAGUGUGAAAUGGAGACACAGAUGCAAAUCCCCUGGGAUAGCACCCCAUCUUGGCCUGUGAAGUUUUAUCUUACUGUAUGGGAACUGCUGAAUCACAGCCUGGAGCUCUGAUUGAUCACCUGAGGUGGGCACUGAGUCAGCCCUGGGAGCACAGGUGAAGGCAAUUCAGCUGUGUGAUCAGAAGGGGUGGAGCCUGGCUGCGCCUCUCCUAGACCCCAUUUAAGAGCUGACUGCCACUGGGGAAGGAUCUCUUCCUGGAGAUAGCUCCCUUCAGAGUUUUUCUGUGUGCCUACAACAUGGACAGUUUCCUUCCAUGAUGAAAAGUACUUCAUGAGAAAUCUAGGGCUGAGAGCAUUUCAUCUCAUCUUGAACUGGGCAGGUGAUCUUCAGAAAACAGAGUUCUGAAGAACCACAGCUGAUCCCGUGACUUUUUUCACUCUCUGCUAUAUUUGAGCAAAUCAAAUCCUAGUAAAGAAGCGGUCAAAUUCAUUUGCAAGUGAGGUGCAUAUCCAAGCAUGUACUGAAGAAGUCCACAGAAGAGUAUGAGCAGGAAGGACAAGAAAAUAGCCUCCAUAUGGCCCACCAGACAAGAAGUCCACUGAGCUGAUUUCAUAGGAUUAUAGAAUGGCUUGGCUUGGAAGGGACCUCAGGGAUCAUCAUGUUCCAACGCCACUGCCACAGAGUUUACCAACACACCUGCUCCCUGUGGCAGCAUCCCUGGCUAUGCAGUGGCUGUGUGUUUCUCCAUUUUGAAGCAGGAAAUUGCUGCUUGAAAAAGGCAUGUCACCUAGCAGAAUAUGACCUGGAGGAUGCUGCCCUCUGAGGAUGUUCCAAAAGAGCUGGAAGAAGGCAAUGCGUUGGUUGCAGGAAGUCUGAGUGGCAAGGCUCUGGAACAUGCUGCCCAGAAAGGUGGUGGUUGUCCUAUCCUUGGAGACAUUCAAGGUCAGGCUGGAUGGGGCUCUGAGCACCUGAUGGAGCUGUAGGUGUUCCUGUUCAUCACAGGGGAGUUGAAUCAGAUGAGCUUUCAAGGUCCCUUAUAACACAAACGAUUGUAUGACAAUUAUAUGUGGUAUAGCACAUAACAGUGGUUGUCUUCAUCUCUGUUCUUUAUCAGUGAGUAAAUAAAAGGGAAGUCAGAUGCCAGGUCUAACAUUUCUGCUUCCACUCUGUGUUGCUCUUUUCUCAGCAUCUCCAGUUUGAAGUGUUAAGAAUGCAAUAUCUGCAACAAAUUAAUUAGUAAAAUCGUCAAAUGAAGUUAAGAAACUUAAAUUAUUAAUUCUUGAUCUGAAGAUCACAGGGACAGUACCUGUAUUUUCUGCCAUUUCAUCUUUAUACUGCAAGAGGAAAAAAGCAAGAUAGACAUGCUGAAUGGUGAUGAGACGAAGUGUUGAAGUAUUUCUAUUUGGAGACAUGAAUUCAAACAUAUGGAAGGAACUGAGACCCUCUGACCUACACAAAGCCUCCAGACAGUCAAAAGCAUUCCCUUGGUUGCGUGCUGCAAGUGUCUUGUAAAAAUAAGGCUGCACUUAGAGCUGCUGAGCACCACAAACUUCUGAACAUUAAGCUCAGUGGAAAUUAAGACAAAACAUCCCACAUCUCUGUGCUAAAAAGGAGAUGAGCUGCCAAACAGAUUCUGUUGCCAGCUGCUGCCUACUUUGCUCCUUUUAGGAUCUGUCACCUGCUUUGAAAUUCUUGGUGACUAAUGUAGGCCAUCCCCAAUCCUCAGGCAGAAGUCACUGCUACUCAAUUAAUAUUAAAUACUUUUGGCUUAUUAACAUAAUAAUUCUGUUUUUGCCUAAUUGCAAUCUUUAAGGGAUUAUAUAUAGUUUUUUCCUCUCUGUUUGGAAGUCCUAAGAGCUCUGAAGUUAUUGAUCAAAUCUUCCCCACAAAUCCUAAUGGAACCACAAGAGCAUGUGAUAUAGCUCUGAUCAGUCUCUGUGUUGCUAGUGAAUGCACUUCAAGCAAAUGAGAUUUGUUUCAGCUCCAUGUUGCUCAUACAGAUGCUUUGAAGACAUAUGAAAUGAGUACUCCAGAUAAUUUUGGCACUAUUAGAGAUAAGAGUCUUAUCAGGACCUGAGGUACCAACCUAAUUUUUUUUUCAUGAAAGCUGCCAGAGUAAACCCAUGACUCUUCUGAAUCAGCACAUCACGUUUGUUGUGCUCUGCAGAAAGGAGAGAACAGCAAAAGAUAAUGGACCGUGAUAGCACUACAGCUCUGGGAAAUGGGGCAAUGGAAAUAGCAGCAAAUGGUGAUCAAAAUGUCUGUGUUAAAGCUCAGCCCUGGAACAGACUGGAUACAUCUCCUGUUCAGCUUCUUCCUCUGAAAAAUAAGACACUGUUUACUUCAGGCAUUUCUCAUUAAGCUCAGAAAAACAGUACAUUUUUUCUGAUUCUGGAAGGGUAAGAUUGGAAAUGGUGGCCUGAUAUCUGUUAGCAAAUAAAGAAAAGAGGAAACGGACAGUUUUGCAGAUAGUCCUUCUAAGUCUCUGCAAGAGUACUGCUGGAGUAGCAGAUGCUCAAAGGGAGCCUUUACAUACGUGUUACCCAUUUAACAGUGAUAAGAUGAAGCCCUCUGCAGACCGAGUAUGGGAGAUACAAGGAAUAAAGCUUGCCUACAGGUGGUUGACAAAUAAACCAAGUCUUUUAUGCCUAAAGACUGGAUAUUGACAUUUGGCAAACACAAAUCCUAGUGUGGUGGCAAUUCACAAUCCUCUUGAGGCUUUCCAAGGUCUCAGCACACGUGCUAAGAGCUUGCAUUGCCUAUGAACGUUUUCAUCAACCAUCAAUGGCUCAAGUCUUUAUAUUUCACACUACUAUAUCUCUAGGUUGCUAUGCAGCCAAAAAUCCUUGAUGAUUAGCAGAUAUUUGGACAUUCUGGUAAUGAAACCAUGUUAGUUGCCAGAGAAAGUGUCAGUAAUUGAUUGGUGUGAUGCACUAUGGAUUGGAUGAUAGUUUAUUCUUAGGAAAAAGGUUUUCAUCCAUUUUUUUCCCCAGUGUUUUACAUUUGUUCUCAAAACAUGGAAAUCCUAAGGACAAUUUUAGAAAUAAAAAAUUCAUGGCAUGAGGCCAUUUGAUGCUGCCAUUAAGGCACUUCACUGCUGUAUUCCUGGGCUGUCAAGGGAGGAUGGGUGUUGUGUAAAUUAGCAGCAAUCUGCACAUUGCACAGCUGCACAGAAGGACCAAGAGUGAGCUUAACUGAGGGGCAAAAGGGUAGAGCUGGCCAGCAAGAACUGCCUUAUGUAACAGAAAUUAUAAAAAGCCAUUCAGUGUACAAUCGAAAGUGAGAGAAACCUCUGGAUAUGAUGCGUUUAAAAUUCUGGGCUAUUUUGAUACUGGAUCCAAGUCACUCGGAGAGCCCAGUGGUGAUGAAUACACCUCACAACAUGCCUGUUAUUUGCUUUCUGUGUUUACUCCUUCUUUUAGAAGGGUAUCACUCUUUGCUUUUCUGGUCAACAUCAUUUUGGCUGUGUGUUGAUAUACAAUCUCAGACUGCCUGUGAAGAUAGCUUUUCAGCAAUCCCUGCAUUGUGCAAGAAUAGAUUAAGAAAAGUGAAGGGCGAGGUUAAUCAUACUGCUGUGGUUGUGCAGGUGUGCUCAGCACUUUCCUCAAACUUCUGUUGUUAAAGGGUUCCAAGGCAUGUGGUUAAAAAAUGGGCUGCUAACUCUGUAUUCAAACACCUAUAUGUUAAUGGCCUGGCCUGUGAGAAGCAAGGAACAUCCACAUAAAGCCCCAAUGCUCCUCCACACACAUUUGGAGCAUUAUUAUAAAAGGACUCCAAUAUUAAUCCCAUAAACUCCAGAUGGAAGGCUUUAGUAAUGCUAGAAGACUAAGCUCAGUGACUUCUUUGUGAGCUACAUGUACUUAUCAUAGGUGAGCUAGUACGUGGGCCAAGAAGACGUCAGUGAAUGAUUCAUACUUUGAAUCAUUGGAUGGAGAAUGUAGCUGAAAUUAUUCCAAUUUCUUGCUCUGUGUCUCCUUGCAGUAAAGUCUGGUUGAUUAUUGCUUGUUGGUUCUCCUUACUGUCAUUAUUAUUCUCUCUAAACUUCUGCAGCAGCUGCAGUGUUCAUUCUUUCUCUGGAUGUCUAAAGGAGGGGAGAUCAGAGAAUACCAGUAGGUAAAUAACUGUUUUAUUUUGUCAUGUUUUGAUUUGUUUUCUGUCAGUGCUGGAGCAUCUCCUUGAGGAAUGAACAGCUCUGAGCCAUAUCUUGUCCUGGUUCAGGGACGCUGGGUGCUCAGAGCACUGGCUCUUCUGUGGCACAGUGCGUGAAGGGUGAACUGUAUCAAAAAAAGGGCACAAGGAAAAACACAUGCAUCUAAGUUUUUAUCAUUUAUUGGAAACAAGUGUAAACCCCGCUAGCGGCGCUGGGGG
RNAcentral lists this long non-coding RNA (4371 nucleotides) under Gallus gallus (chicken). RNAcentral describes it as "lncRNA (ENSGALG00010027625.1)". The record is from RNAcentral. Lineage: Eukaryota; Metazoa; Chordata; Aves; Galliformes; Phasianidae.